GCCUGGGUGGCUUAGUCGGUUAAGUGUCUGACUUCGGCUCAGGUCAUGAUUUCGCAGUUCGUGAGUUCGAGCCCCACAUCAGGCU
Molecule: transfer RNA, 85 nt
Filed under: Felis catus (domestic cat)
Lineage: Eukaryota; Metazoa; Chordata; Mammalia; Carnivora; Felidae
Rfam family: tRNA
About the family: Transfer RNA (tRNA) molecules are approximately 80 nucleotides in length.
Source: Rfam by way of RNAcentral